UAUCUCUGUAGAGUCUGCAUAUCAAUAAGCGGAGGAAAAGAAACUAACAUAGGAUUCCCUUAGUAACGGCGAGUGAAGCGGGAAGAGCUCAAAUUUGAAAUCUUCAAGGUUUACCUUGACGAAUUGUAGUUUAAAGAAGUGUUUUCUGUUGGUGUUUUGGUAAAAGUUCUUUGGAAUAGGACAUCAUAGAGGGUGAGAAUCCCGUAUUCGACCAUUACUUCCAGCGUUGUGAUACACUUUCAAAGAGUCGGAUUGUUUGGGAAUGCAGUCCAAAAUGGGUGGUAAAUUUCAUCUAAAGCUAAUUAUUGGCGAGAGACCGAUAGCGAACAAGUACCGUGAGGGAAAGAUGAAAAGAACUUUGAAAAGAGAGUUAAACAGUACGUGAAAUUGUCAAAAGGGAAGCGUUUGACACCAGUGUUGUUUUCUCGAAAAUCAAUUAAAAAAAGUUGGAUUUUGUAUUGUUAAGACCUUAUCAGCUUACUGUACUCUUUUCUUGCUUUUUUUAAUGCACUUCUCGUUUAACAAGUCAACAUCAAUUUCUUUUGUUGUAAAAGAGUCAUUGGAAGGUGGCUUUCACUUCGGUGAAAGUGUUUAUAGCCUUUGGCUUCUGCAAUCGGAGAGAUUGAGGUCUGCAGCGUAGAUCCUUCGGGGCUAGAUACGUAGAUGCUAUGUUAUAGUUUUUUAUAGACAACUUGUUGACUAUAAUUAAUCAUGUAGCUUACUCGUUUGCGCUAUUUUACCUACGCUUAGGAUGUUGAAGAUGUAGCACAUCAU
Molecule: ribosomal RNA, 774 nt
Filed under: uncultured Neocallimastigales
Lineage: Eukaryota; Fungi; Neocallimastigomycota; Neocallimastigomycetes; Neocallimastigales
Description: partial large subunit ribosomal RNA
Rfam family: Eukaryotic large subunit ribosomal RNA
Source: RNAcentral